This 513-nucleotide ribosomal RNA is filed under the name Triticum aestivum (bread wheat). RNAcentral's name for it is "partial small subunit ribosomal RNA". The record is from RNAcentral. Lineage: Eukaryota; Viridiplantae; Streptophyta; Magnoliopsida; Poales; Poaceae.
AUGGCUACCCUCGCCCUUAGCGUGGAGCAAGGGAGGCGAAGCUCCUGGAGGCUGGAGGUGCCACGGACCUCGGGCGCACGAGGAGGAGCAGGGAAAAGAGGUCAGGCGGGCGGUGUGCUUGGGAUGGCUGGACCUCGCAAAAUCAAAGAAGGAGCGGCGGCACAGAAGAGUUCAAGCGGCUCCCUGGCAGAUCCCAGCGAGGACAGGGCGCGGGAGGUUGGCGGCUACGGCAGAGCUCCUGCGCAGCGAGGCGGCGUGCAGAGCUCGGGGCGCGAGGGUGCAGGGCGGCGGCCUGCGGCACCUGGCGGAGGAGGAGAAACUGCAGGGGCGCCAAGGUUUCAAGGCGAGGAGGAGGCCAUGGCAAGGAGGCACGACGACGUGGUGGAUCAAGGGCCGGCGACAAGGCAAGGCGACCCAGGGAGCCUGCGAGGGAGGAGAGGGAGAAGAGCACAGGGAGAUGGGAGAGAUCGAGAGGAGGGAGGAUCGGGCACCGGUUCCAUCCUCUACGCGUGA